CACAAUACAAUAAAAAACCUUUAUUGGCAUUUCAAGUUAAGACAUUCCAAAAUGGCUUGAGAUACAAAGUCUUUCUUCUUCCUGUUUCCUGUUUCCAAGAGAUUUGAAUGGGGAAAUCCUUUCGAUUCUUCAAUAAUAAGAGGCAGUGGGGUGAGGGAGGCCAGGGCCACAUCCACACCAUUUAACGCGCUAUGAAGCCGCUUUAAACACUCAUGGCUAAACACCCCAAAGACUCUGGGAGCUAUAGUUGGAAAGGGUGCCAAGAGUUGUUAGGGACCCGUUCCCUGCCAAGAAGGGAACCCUACCUCUACCCCUACCCCUGACGCUCACCCUAACUCUAGCCCUAACACUAACCUUUAAGCCUUAACUAGAGCUACAAUUCCCAGAGUUCCCUGCCAAGGGAACCCCAACCCUACCCCUGCCAAGAAGGGAACCCUACCUCUACAACUACCCCUACCCCUGACGCUCACCCUAACUCUAGCCCUAACACUAACCUUUAAGCCUUAACUAGAGCUACAAUUCCCAGAGUUCCCUGGCAAAAAGGGAACCCUAACCCUAAUCCUAACCCUGCCCCCUAACUAGAGCUGCCAUUCCCAGGUUCCCUGCCAGAGGAACCCAGCCCUACCCCUGCCCCUGACGCUAACCGUUCUUCUAUCCCUUUGCCUUAAUUAGAGCUACAAUUCCCAGGGUUCCCUGGCAAGAAGGGAACCCCAACCCUACCCCUGCUCCUGACGCUAACCCUAACUCUAACCCUUAACUAGAGCUACAAUUCCCAGAGUUCCCUGGCAAGAAGGAACCCUACCCCUACCCCAACCCCUACCCUACCCCUAGUCCUAAUACUUAACCACCAUAACAAGUCUCCGUCCCCUUAACCACCUACAGUUCCCAGAAUCCCUGAGGGGAAGCCAUUCCUGUUCAAAGUGUCUUCAUAGACCUUUCAGUGGACGGUGCGCCUAAUGUGGCCUAAUGUUUCCUCCCUCAUUUUCUUCUCUCUCCCCACUGCCCCAUCACUUGCAAUGCAGCAGGUGUCCGCCUGCAGUCUCCCUUCAAAGCUCCUUCUCUCAGGUAUGGCCACGGCCUUGUCCAUUGCUCGCUGCCAGUAUUUCACGUUCACUUCUUCCUGUUUCCUGUUUCCUGUUUCCAAGAGAUUUGAAUGGGGAAAUCCUUUCGAUUCUUCAAUAAGAGGCAGUGGGGUGAGGAAGCCAGGACCACAUCCACACCAUUUAACGCGCUAUGAAGCCACUUUAAACACUCAUGGCUAAACACCCCCAAAGACUCUGGGAGCUAUAGUUGGAAAAGGGUGCCAAGAGUUGUUAGGGGACCCCGUUCCCUGCCAAGAAGGGAACCCUAUCUCUACCCCUACCCCUACCCCUGACGCUCACCCUAACUCUAGCCCUAACACUAACCUUUAAGCCUUAACUAGAGCUACAAUUCCCAGAGUUCCCUGGCAAAAAGGGAACCCUAGCCCUAAUCCUAAC
Molecule: long non-coding RNA, 1478 nt
Filed under: Podarcis lilfordi (Lilford's wall lizard)
Lineage: Eukaryota; Metazoa; Chordata; Lepidosauria; Squamata; Lacertidae
Source: RNAcentral